Molecule: ribosomal RNA, 1429 nt
Filed under: uncultured bacterium
Lineage: Bacteria
Description: 16S ribosomal RNA
Rfam family: Bacterial small subunit ribosomal RNA
Source: RNAcentral
UUAACACAUGCAAGUCGAGGGGCAGCAUGGUCUUUGCUUGCUAAGGCCGAUGGCGACCGGCGCACGGGUGAGUAACACGUAUCCAACCUGCCGUCUACUCUUGGACAGCCUUCUGAAAGGAAGAUUAAUACAAGAUGGCAUCAUGAGUCCGCAUGUUCACAUGAUUAAAGGUAUUCCGGUAGACGAUGGGGAUGCGUUCCAUUAGAUAGUAGGCGGGGUAACGGCCCACCUAGUCUUCGAUGGAUAGGGGUUCUGAGAGGAAGGUCCCCCACAUUGGAACUGAGACACGGUCCAAACUCCUACGGGAGGCAGCAGUGAGGAAUAUUGGUCAAUGGGCGAGAGCCUGAACCAGCCAAGUAGCGUGAAGGAUGACUGCCCUAUGGGUUGUAAACUUCUUUUAUAAAGGAAUAAAGUCGGGUAUGGAUACCCGUUUGCAUGUACUUUAUGAAUAAGGAUCGGCUAACUCCGUGCCAGCAGCCGCGGUAAUACGGAGGAUCCGAGCGUUAUCCGGAUUUAUUGGGUUUAAAGGGAGCGUAGAUGGAUGUUUAAGUCAGUUGUGAAAGUUUGCGGCUCAACCGUAAAAUUGCAGUUGAUACUGGAUAUCUUGAGUGCAGUUGAGGCAGGCGGAAUUCGUGGUGUAGCGGUGAAAUGCUUAGAUAUCACGAAGAACUCCGAUUGCGAAGGCAGCCUGCUAAGCUGCAACUGACAUUGAGGCUCGAAAGUGUGGGUAUCAAACAGGAUUAGAUACCCUGGUAGUCCACACGGUAAACGAUGAAUACUCGCUGUUUGCGAUAUACUGCAAGCGGCCAAGCGAAAGCGUUAAGUAUUCCACCUGGGGAGUACGCCGGCAACGGUGAAACUCAAAGGAAUUGACGGGGGCCCGCACAAGCGGAGGAACAUGUGGUUUAAUUCGAUGAUACGCGAGGAACCCUACCCGGGCUUAAAUUGCAGAUGAAUUACGGUGAAAGCCGUAAGCCGCAAGGCAUCUGUGAAGGUGCUGCAUGGUUGUCGUCAGCUCGUGCCGUGAGGUGUCGGCUUAAGUGCCAUAACGAGCGCAACCCUUGUUGUCAGUUACUAACAGGUUCCGCUGAGGACUCUGACAAGACUGCCAUCGUAAGAUGUGAGGAAGGUGGGGAUGACGUCAAAUCAGCACGGCCCUUACGUCCGGGGCUACACACGUGUUACAAUGGGGGGUACAGAGGGCCGCUACCACGCGAGUGGAUGCCAAUCCCCAAAACCUCUCUCAGUUCGGACUGGAGUCUGCAACCCGACUCCACGAAGCUGGAUUCGCUAGUAAUCGCGCAUCAGCCACGGCGCGGUGAAUACGUUCCCGGGCCUUGUACACACCGCCCGUCAAGCCAUGGGAGCCGGGGGUACCUGAAGUGCGUAACCGCGAGGAGCGCCCUAGGGUAAAACUGGUGACUGGGGC